This is a long non-coding RNA of Talpa occidentalis (Iberian mole), 1312 nucleotides long. RefSeq lists it as uncharacterized. The transcript is spliced from 3 exons. The record is from RefSeq and is a predicted model, not a curated record. NCBI's taxonomy places the organism in Eukaryota, Metazoa, Chordata, Mammalia, Eulipotyphla, Talpidae.
CUGGCCUUUGACCAUCUUGGGAAAGAGUGGGUCCCAGAGAGAGAAGGUGGGGCGAGCAAUGCCACUAUCCACCGCACCUACUGCAGACAGUGGGAGCCACUGCUUGAAUAACUGCCCUCUCCCCCAUUUGGGCAAACCCACUCCCAGCACAGAUGAAGACAAUGAACACUUAAUUAGGGAAGACGUCUGAGGCCUCAUGGUGAUUUAGGGGCGAUAGGGGUUAAGAUAUAGUUCCUCAAGAUCUCAUUCUUUUAAAGAAAUAAUCCAAAGACACCUGCAGCCAAGUCAAGUUGGUUAAAUAUCAAUGCAAGCAGAGGGGCUGACCAUGAGUAUCCACAGGGGUAAGGGCCUAAGGCAGGGACUUCAUUUCUGCUUCCAUCUACCGUUGGUGAAUUAUGCCAUCCAUUUAAGGCUUGGUUUCGUUUCAUUAUUUAAUUGGAUUUUCAAGAUGGGAAAAUUGAGAUCUGGAGAAGUUCUUUGCCUAAGGCCUGGCAGCUUGUGAGAGGCAGGGUAAGGAUCAGAGACAGCCAGGAGGUUUCCUGGCCACCCUGGGGGUGCUCCCCCCCAACAUGUGGAAGAGUUUGGAGUACGGGCCUUGUACCGUUCAUCGUAUGGGACGUGUGGACUUACUGUGUUUGGGGAACUCGCCUAUUUACAUGUGGGGGAGUCACUGACCAGUCUCAGCUGUUCAGACACGUCAACACUUGGCUCUUGAGCUGGGUUUGUAAAGUGGCGCUUGGCAAGUAUGUAUAUCACAUGUUCCUGCACAUGGUGUGGAUCAAACCAUCCAUGACUCUAGGACAUUCUUGUGUGAAUUUAUGUGUGAAAUCUGCCAUCUUUUGGCUCUGCUGGCAAGACUCUGGGGACUCCUCCACUCAUACGUGACCAUCACAACCACCAGAGUUAAGGUUGAGAAGAGAGGACCUCUCCUGAUGACUGGACUGAGCAGAAGUUCAGAAAAUGAGGUCCUAUAAAAUGCUCAUCCCGCCGAAGAAUAGCUCGCUCCGUCUUGGGAAGCCAGCAUCAGAGGCUGUAAAUCAACUCCUCUUCUGUUUUAAUACUGAAUUAACAACCAGGCAGGGGGAGAAAUGGAGCAUUUAAAUAUUUAAACCAAACAUUUAAUUUUUAAAUACGGACAUUCUUUUUAUAACUCGGACUGCCCUUCAAGGCCUGUGGAAAAAUUCCCUGAGUCUACGCAGUCAGCCCCACUUCAUGGUAAAGAGCUUGGCUAACCUUGAGUGCCUCUGGACCUGGCAGGGCUAACUCUUUUGUUUUAUUCAGAAAAAGGCACAUUUGUGUCCUAAUAAAGAUA